UUUGGUUUACCAUUCUUUCCGUUUUCUAAGGGUUGGAGCUCCAAGUCCCCACGAAAGCAUAAUUUAGCCAAGUCUUCUCUUGCCUUUUCAUUAUCCUUUGUUUUGUCCUUAACAUUCAUGACAGUAUUAAAUAUAUUAUCGAAGACGUUUUUUUCUAUGUGCAUCACAUCGAGGUUAUGCCUUAACAAAUUAUCCUUCCAAUAUGGGAGAUCCCAAAAAAUACUUCGCUUUUUCCAAUUGUGAUCCACUCCAUACCCUUCG
Molecule: long non-coding RNA, 261 nt
Filed under: Lathyrus oleraceus (garden pea)
Lineage: Eukaryota; Viridiplantae; Streptophyta; Magnoliopsida; Fabales; Fabaceae
Description: Pisum sativum (pea) long non-coding RNA (PSAT_LNC021726)
Source: RNAcentral